This 1552-nucleotide ribosomal RNA is filed under the name Salmonella enterica subsp. enterica serovar Montevideo. RNAcentral's name for it is "bacterial SSU rRNA". It matches the Rfam family "Bacterial small subunit ribosomal RNA". Lineage: Bacteria; Pseudomonadati; Pseudomonadota; Gammaproteobacteria; Enterobacterales; Enterobacteriaceae. RNAcentral also lists the same sequence under 2 other names. The record is from RNAcentral.
AAAUUGAAGAGUUUGAUCAUGGCUCAGAUUGAACGCUGGCGGCAGGCCUAACACAUGCAAGUCGAACGGUAACAGGAAGCAGCUUGCUGCUUUGCUGACGAGUGGCGGACGGGUGAGUAAUGUCUGGGAAACUGCCUGAUGGAGGGGGAUAACUACUGGAAACGGUGGCUAAUACCGCAUAACGUCGCAAGACCAAAGAGGGGGACCUUCGGGCCUCUUGCCAUCAGAUGUGCCCAGAUGGGAUUAGCUUGUUGGUGAGGUAACGGCUCACCAAGGCGACGAUCCCUAGCUGGUCUGAGAGGAUGACCAGCCACACUGGAACUGAGACACGGUCCAGACUCCUACGGGAGGCAGCAGUGGGGAAUAUUGCACAAUGGGCGCAAGCCUGAUGCAGCCAUGCCGCGUGUAUGAAGAAGGCCUUCGGGUUGUAAAGUACUUUCAGCGGGGAGGAAGGUGUUGUGGUUAAUAACCGCAGCAAUUGACGUUACCCGCAGAAGAAGCACCGGCUAACUCCGUGCCAGCAGCCGCGGUAAUACGGAGGGUGCAAGCGUUAAUCGGAAUUACUGGGCGUAAAGCGCACGCAGGCGGUCUGUCAAGUCGGAUGUGAAAUCCCCGGGCUCAACCUGGGAACUGCAUUCGAAACUGGCAGGCUUGAGUCUUGUAGAGGGGGGUAGAAUUCCAGGUGUAGCGGUGAAAUGCGUAGAGAUCUGGAGGAAUACCGGUGGCGAAGGCGGCCCCCUGGACAAAGACUGACGCUCAGGUGCGAAAGCGUGGGGAGCAAACAGGAUUAGAUACCCUGGUAGUCCACGCCGUAAACGAUGUCUACUUGGAGGUUGUGCCCUUGAGGCGUGGCUUCCGGAGCUAACGCGUUAAGUAGACCGCCUGGGGAGUACGGCCGCAAGGUUAAAACUCAAAUGAAUUGACGGGGGCCCGCACAAGCGGUGGAGCAUGUGGUUUAAUUCGAUGCAACGCGAAGAACCUUACCUGGUCUUGACAUCCACGGAAGUUUUCAGAGAUGAGAAUGUGCCUUCGGGAACCGUGAGACAGGUGCUGCAUGGCUGUCGUCAGCUCGUGUUGUGAAAUGUUGGGUUAAGUCCCGCAACGAGCGCAACCCUUAUCCUUUGUUGCCAGCGAUUCGGUCGGGAACUCAAAGGAGACUGCCAGUGAUAAACUGGAGGAAGGUGGGGAUGACGUCAAGUCAUCAUGGCCCUUACGACCAGGGCUACACACGUGCUACAAUGGCGCAUACAAAGAGAAGCGACCUCGCGAGAGCAAGCGGACCUCAUAAAGUGCGUCGUAGUCCGGAUUGGAGUCUGCAACUCGACUCCAUGAAGUCGGAAUCGCUAGUAAUCGUGGAUCAGAAUGCCACGGUGAAUACGUUCCCGGGCCUUGUACACACCGCCCGUCACACCAUGGGAGUGGGUUGCAAAAGAAGUAGGUAGCUUAACCUUCGGGAGGGCGCUUACCACUUUGUGAUUCAUGACUGGGGUGAAGUCGUAACAAGGUAACCGUAGGGGAACCUGCGGUUGGAUCACCUCCUUACCUUAAAGAA